This 323-nucleotide unclassified non-coding RNA is filed under the name soil metagenome. RNAcentral describes it as "partial contains 5.8S ribosomal RNA, internal transcribed spacer 2, and large subunit ribosomal RNA". The stretch from base 1 to 120 matches the Rfam family "5.8S ribosomal RNA", at positions 35 to 154 of the family's 154-position model. The record is from RNAcentral.
GAUGAAGAACGCAGCGAAAUGCGAUAAGUAAUGCGAAUUGCAGAAUUCAGUGAGUCAUCGAAUCUUUGAACGCACAUUGCGCCCUGUGGUAUUCCACAGGGCAUGCCUGUUCGAGCGUCAUUUCAACCCUCAAGCUCUGCUUGGUGUUGGGCCCUGCCCGCUGCGGCCGGCCCUAAAGACAGUGGCGGUGCCGCCUGGCCCUGAGCGUAGUACAUCUCUCGCUCCAGUGCCCGGUGGUAGCCUGCCAGAACCCCAACUCUCGUGGUUGACCUCGGAUCAGGUAGGGAUACCCGCUGAACUUAAGCAUAUCAAUAAGCGGAGGA